GAGCGAACGCUGGCGGCAGGCCUACCACAUGCAAGUCGAACGAACUCUUCGGAGUUAGUGGCGGACGGGUGAGUAACACGUGGGAACGUGCCUUUUGGUUCGGAAUAACUCAGGGAAACUUGUGCUAAUACCGAAUGUGCCCUUCGGGGGAAAGAUUUAUCGCCAUUAGAGCGGCCCGCGUCUGAUUAGCUAGUUGGUGAGGUAACGGCUCACCAAGGCGACGAUCAGUAGCUGGUCUGAGAGGAUGACCAGCCACACUGGGACUGAGACACGGCCCAGACUCCUACGGGAGGCAGCAGUGGGGAAUCUUGCGCAAUGGGCGAAAGCCUGACGCAGCCAUGCCGCGUGAAUGAUGAAGGUCUUAGGAUUGUAAAAUUCUUUCACCGGGGACGAUAAUGACGGUACCCGGAGAAGAAGCCCCGGCUAACUUCGUG
RNAcentral lists this ribosomal RNA (434 nucleotides) under uncultured bacterium. Its description in RNAcentral is "partial 16S ribosomal RNA". It matches the Rfam family "Bacterial small subunit ribosomal RNA", at positions 27 to 507 of the family's 1533-position model. The record is from RNAcentral.